RNAcentral lists this long non-coding RNA (453 nucleotides) under Nicotiana benthamiana. RNAcentral describes it as "long non-coding RNA (NBEN_LNC018734)". Lineage: Eukaryota; Viridiplantae; Streptophyta; Magnoliopsida; Solanales; Solanaceae. The record is from RNAcentral.
AAACAUACAAGAGGGUUCAGAAGAAUACCUAGCCAAAGAAAAUAGCCUAAGGAACAAAACAAGCUGCAAUUUCUAGCUCAGCUCAAACAAAACCUACAGUGAAUCAACCCAGGAUCCUUUCCCAAUCUCUGAAACCCAACCAAGAAAGGACCUCCAAAUAGAAAGAACUUAAAAAAUUUCUUCAGAAAACCUUUUGGAGAAUAUUUUUAGCCAUUUCCUAUUUUUCUCACUCUUUUUUAUGUGCCCUAAUCAUUUUUAUAGAAGGGAUAUUAGGGCAACCAAAUCAGUUCUUGUAAUUAAAAAGUGACCCUUAAGUUUAUGAUUUUAUUAACUUAAAACCCCUUCGCCCCAGGAUGAUCCUUCCAGCUCUUUUAUAGAAUAUUCCUAUAAGUUUAUUCAAAUCCUGUCAAAUUCCAAAACCAAGAGCCUUGUACUUACCCCCUUCCCCCAUUU